RNAcentral lists this ribosomal RNA (607 nucleotides) under uncultured fungus. RNAcentral describes it as "eukaryotic LSU rRNA". The stretch from base 237 to 390 matches the Rfam family "5.8S ribosomal RNA". Lineage: Eukaryota; Fungi. The record is from RNAcentral.
UUGACCUCGAAUCAGGUAGGACUACUCUUGGUCAUUUAGAGGAAGUAAAAGUCGUAACAAGGUCUCCGUUGGUGAACCAGCGGAGGGAUCAUUAUCGAGUUAUUCAACUCCCAAACCCUAUGUGAACUUACCACUUGUUGCUUCGGCGCGCGCUUCGGCGCCGCCGAGGACACUUAAACUCUUUGUUUUUAUAAGCAUUUCUGAGUGGCCGAAAGGCAAAAAUACAAAUGAAUCAAAACUUUCAACAACGGAUCUCUUGGUUCUGGCAUCGAUGAAGAACGCAGCGAAAUGCGAUAAGUAAUGUGAAUUGCAGAAUUCAGUGAAUCAUCGAAUCUUUGAACGCACAUUGCGCCCGCCAGCAUUCUGGCGGGCAUGCCUGUUCGAGCGUCAUUUCAACCCUCGAGCCCGACUCUUUUGAGGACGGCUCGGCGUUGGGGGACGGCAGACUCCCCCCGGCAUCUCGCCGGGGACGCCGCCCCCGAAAUCUAGUGGCGGCCCUCCGAGGCGACCUCUGCGUAGUAACUUGUUCUCGCACCGGAAAGCUCAGAGCGGCCACGCCGUAAAACCCCAACUUUUUUCAGGUUGACCUCGAAUCAGGUAGGACUAC